This 180-nucleotide small RNA is filed under the name Staphylococcus arlettae. RNAcentral describes it as "RNA Staph. aureus D". It matches the Rfam family "RNA Staph. aureus D". Lineage: Bacteria; Bacillati; Bacillota; Bacilli; Caryophanales; Staphylococcaceae. The record is from RNAcentral.
UUUGCUAUAAUGUUAUUUAUCUUCUUAUUGAAGAACAAUAAGAAGCCAUCUCCUUUGUGUUGUUUAUAGUAACAAACAAAAACAAAUUUUUGCUCGAAGUAUGUUAUAAGUACCUAGUCCUUGCUUAUAUCAUACAUUUAAUUCAUUUCCCGUAAAAGCCAAGUACACCGCGUACUUGGC